AGUCUGGUUACUGUAGAAGUCCUGCUGUUGGAGAAGCUCGGACAUUGACGAAGUCUGAAAGAAGUUUGGAGUAAAGUUGCUCGUGGCAGGAGGAAGUCUGGAAGAGAUUCAGAGGGUAGCCAAUCACUGUGAAAAGUCGGCUGAUAAUGAGACCCAAAGAGCAUUUGGAGCAGUCCCGUAGAUGAAUGGGGGAGCUCAUUAUUGGAGAAGUUCGGAUGGCAUUAUGGAAGCUCGGACGAUCGAGGGAGUUCAGAAAGACGCCACACAAGGUCGGAAGCCAGAAAAGCCUUGGAAGGGUCGGCCUUUUACCAACUUCGGCUGGGGUUAUUUUAUACCCAACACCAGUCCCCUAUUUCCAAGUUCAGAUUCUGAAUGAAGAAAGUAUAGAGAAAUUUUUACAGCCGAAGUUGCCUCCCUCAAUUUUCGUACUUGAUUGUUUCUAGAUAUUUUGACGUUUGGCACGCUGGUGCUGGAGUCUUUUUAAAUCGAGGCAAUCCGAAAAAGUUUUUUCGGAAUUUUUGCUGGAGCGCUGCUCUAGAUACGGUGCAAUAAUGGUUCUGUCAGUUAUCGGUCACUUUCAGCCGCCUGCCAUAAUGAGUGGGCCAUGUGGCGGUUAUAGAUCGGCCAGAGGGGACCU
Molecule: long non-coding RNA, 637 nt
Filed under: Elaeis guineensis (African oil palm)
Lineage: Eukaryota; Viridiplantae; Streptophyta; Magnoliopsida; Arecales; Arecaceae
Description: long non-coding RNA (EGUI_LNC036635)
Source: RNAcentral